This 468-nucleotide ribosomal RNA is filed under the name uncultured bacterium. RNAcentral's name for it is "partial 16S ribosomal RNA". It matches the Rfam family "Bacterial small subunit ribosomal RNA", at positions 28 to 507 of the family's 1533-position model. The record is from RNAcentral.
AACGAACGCUGGCGGCGUGCUUAACACAUGCAAGUCGAACGGAAAGGCCCUGCUUUUGUGGGGUGCUCGAGUGGCGAACGGGUGAGUAACACGUGAGUAACCUGCCCUUGACUUUGGGAUAACUUCAGGAAACUGGGGCUAAUACCGGAUAGGAGCUCCUGCCGCAUGGUGGGGGUUGGAAAGUUUCGGCGGUUGGGGAUGGACUCGCGGCUUAUCAGCUUGUUGGUGGGGUAGUGGCUUACCAAGGCUUUGACGGGUAGCCGGCCUGAGAGGGUGACCGGCCACAUUGGGACUGAGAUACGGCCCAGACUCCUACGGGAGGCAGCAGUGGGGAAUAUUGCACAAUGGGCGGAAGCCUGAUGCAGCAACGCCGCGUGCGGGAUGACGGCCUUCGGGUUGUAAACCGCUUUCGCCUGUGACGAAGCGUGAGUGACGGUAAUGGGUAAAGAAGCACCGGCUAACUACGUG